CACCUACGGGAGGCAGCAGUGGGGAAUAUUGGGCAAUGGAGGCAACUCUGACCCAGCAAUGCCGCGUGAGUGAUGAAGGUAAUUUUAUUGUAAAGCUCUUUUCUUUGGAACGAAUAAGUGACGGUACCUGACGAAUAAGCCACGGCUAACUACGUGCCAGCAGCCGCGGUAAUACGUAGGUGGCAAGCGUUAUCCGGAUUUAUUGGGUGUAAAAGGCGUGUAGGCGGGAAUGCAAGUCAGAUGUGAAGACUAUGGGCUCAACCCAUAGCCUGCAUUUGAAACUGUAUUUCUUGAGUGCUGGAGAG
RNAcentral lists this ribosomal RNA (305 nucleotides) under uncultured bacterium. RNAcentral describes it as "bacterial SSU rRNA". It matches the Rfam family "Bacterial small subunit ribosomal RNA", at positions 335 to 656 of the family's 1533-position model. The record is from RNAcentral.